This 988-nucleotide ribosomal RNA is filed under the name Protonemura lateralis. RNAcentral describes it as "partial large subunit ribosomal RNA". Lineage: Eukaryota; Metazoa; Arthropoda; Insecta; Plecoptera; Nemouridae. The record is from RNAcentral.
GUGUACCGGAAGGUGCACCUGGAAAGUCAGGAUAGAGCUUGAUUAGUUAAGCAUUUCAUUUACACUGAAAAUACACUGUGCAAUUCAGUUUAUUCUGAUAAAUUUUAACUUACUUUAGUUGUUAGUUGUUAAAAGUUUUUUUAAUUAAAUUAUUUUUAAUAGGUUAUGUUUGUGUAUAGAAUAUAGAUAAAAUUAUUUAAGUGGUAGGUUAAUUGUAUCGUGAGAGGCUGAUUGAAAUAGUUUGAAAAUAUAUUUUUAUAAAAGUAGAUUAAUGAUUGUACCUUGUGUAUCAGGGUUUAUUAAAAAAAUUGCAAAUAUUUGUAUUUUCCCGAUUUGAAGAGAGCUAAAUAAAUGUGUUAGUUAAUGUGGAAUAAUUAUUAAUAACAUUUAUUUAGUAAUGAAACGUUAUCCGUUCUUUAAGAUAUCUGGUUUUCCGAGAAAUGAAUUUAAUUCAGGUUUAAAAAAGUGUAAUUUAAUUUAUUAAAUAAAUCAUUUUUUUAAGCUAAUGCCCUGGGGGAUAAGCUUUAGGGUAGGUUUUAUAAUUAGUGAAAUUUUAAAAGAUUUAGUAGGCUUAGAAUUAGCCAUCUAUUAAAGGAUGUUAUAAUUUAAUUUUUUGUAAGUUUAAUUUUCUAAGAAUUUAAGUUUUAUAUCGGAGCAAUGUAACUAAUUUUUAGUUACUUGAGAUAAUGAUAAAAUUAGUAUAAAAAUUGUUUAAAUUAUUAAAAAAAUGUGAGGUUACAUUAAGGAAUUAGGCAAAUUAGUACUCGCCUGUUUAACAAAAACAUGUCUUCUUGAUUAUAAUUUGAAGUCUGACCUGCCCACUGAAUUUUAUAUUUGAAGGGCCGCGGUAUUUUGACCGUGCAAAGGUAGCAUAAUCAUUAGUCUUUUAAUUGAAGGCUAGAAUGAAUGGUUGGACGAGGUACUGACUGUCUCGGUGUGAUUGAUAUUAGAAUUUAACUUUUAAGUUAAAAGGCUUAAAUAUAUUUAA